UCAAAAGCCGGUGUGACACGUCAAAGUGUAAACCUCUGCAUCAUGCUUAAAUUAAUAAACCAGGGCAUCUUAUGCAAGACACAUGAGCUAAGCCCACCCCACCACUAACUACCAGGAAGGCCUCCACUGCAUUUAUCUUCUGCUACUGCUUCAAAACUACCACAUCCCAAGAGAGCAAUGGGAAAAAGCACCAUGGGAUUUGUUUGCUUUGGAUCUAGUUCAACUCAAAACCACAGAGAUGGCUCCAUAACCAACCUCUGAUCAGAGAUGAUGAAGUCCAGGGCUAGUCAGACUUGGAGGGAGGUCUGAGAAAAACAUGGAUCUGCUCGAAAUAGAGAAAAAGUCAGAGCUGAAAAGCAUGGAAUUCAGUAAUUCUAGCACACACAAUAUUUUGGACACAUUUCCUCAGAUGCUCACGGUUCAAUUCACUAACUACUGCCUCUGGUGCUAUGAGGAGGCCUUACCAAAAUCUUAAGGGAAAAGCACCUGGUGAUUCGGUCAGCUGGGACUCCAACCCACCUCAGUGCACUAAAGAUGGCAACAGAAAUUGAAGUGAGAAUGAGCAGACUUCUUACCCUGUUUUAUUUUUUCAAGAAAAGAUGCCGUUUGUUUAAAAAUCACUUGCUGGAAUGCAGGCUGCUCAUCCACCGCAUGCUCCCAGUUUCACAUCUACUGUUGCCUUUGAGGAAUCAAAAUCUGCCACGUGGUGUCUGGCGAAACCUGCCCGAUUUUACUCUUCAUUACUUCUUGCAUGCCUGGGUGCUUAAAGAAGACCCCUCUUUUGAACAGCAGCUCACAGUCUGAUAAUAUUUCUCUUUGAAAAGUCAACAUACUAUCACUGUUUCGGAUUCAAUUAUACAGCGGGCUUUCUCUGCAUGGUAUGCAAGUGCUGUAUUUAGGUUAUAUUAAAUUAUGUUUUAAUAACAUCCACUGGCUUUUUUUUAUCCAC
Molecule: long non-coding RNA, 949 nt
Organism: Gallus gallus (chicken)
Lineage: Eukaryota; Metazoa; Chordata; Aves; Galliformes; Phasianidae
Source: Ensembl